Molecule: ribosomal RNA, 372 nt
Filed under: uncultured bacterium
Lineage: Bacteria
Description: bacterial SSU rRNA
Rfam family: Bacterial small subunit ribosomal RNA
Source: RNAcentral
UACGAAGGUGGCAAGCGUUGUUCGGAUUCACUGGGCGUACAGGGUGUGUAGGCGGUUUGGUAAGCCUUCUGUUAAAGCUUCGGGCCCAACCCGGAAAGCGCAGAGGGUACUGCCAGGCUAGAGGGUGGGAGAGGAGCGCGGAAUUCCCGGUGUAGCGGUGAAAUGCGUAGAGAUCGGGAGGAAGGCCGGUGGCGAAGGCGGCGCUCUGGAACAUGCCUGACGCUGAGACACGAAAGCGUGGGGAGCAAACAGGAUUAGAUACCCUGGUAGUCCACGCCCUAAACUAUGGAUACUAAGUGUCGGCGGGUUACCGCCGGUGCCGCAGCUAACGCAUUAAGUAUCCCGCCUGGGAAGUACGGCCGCAAGGUUGAA